ACGGGAGGCAGCAGUGGGGAGUUUUGCGCAAUGGGGGAAACCCUGACGCAGCAACGCCGCGUGCGGGAUGAAGGCCUUCGGGUUGUAAACCGCUUUCAGCAGGGAAGACCGAGGACGGUACCUGCAGAAGAAGCCCCGGCUAACUACGUGCCAGCAGCCGCGGUAACACGUAGGGGGCGAGCGUUAUCCGGAUUCAUUGGGCGUAAAGCGCGCGUAGGCUGCCGCCUAAGCGAGGCCUCUAAUCCCGGGGCUCAACCCCGGGCCGGGCUUCGAACUGGGCGGCUCGAGUAGGGCAGGGGCAGGCGGAAUUCCCGGUGUAGCGGUGAAAUGCGCAGAUAUCGGGAGGAACACCGAUGGCGAAGGCAGCCUGCUGGGCCCGCACUGACGCUGAGGCGCGAAAGCCGGGGGAGCGAACAGGAUUAGAUACCCUGGUA
Molecule: ribosomal RNA, 434 nt
Filed under: uncultured Coriobacteriaceae bacterium
Lineage: Bacteria; Bacillati; Actinomycetota; Coriobacteriia; Coriobacteriales; Coriobacteriaceae
Description: partial 16S ribosomal RNA
Rfam family: Bacterial small subunit ribosomal RNA
Source: RNAcentral